CUACGGGGGGCUGCAGUUAGGAAUAAUCUACAAUGCGCGCAAGCGUGAUAGUUUGAGCCAGAGUGCUUUUCAAUGAAAAGCUUUUGCUAAAUGUAAAAAGUUUGGCGAAUAAGGACUGGGUAAGACAGGUGCCAGCCGCCGCGGUAAUACCUGCGGUCCAAGUCGCAACCAUUUUUAUUGGGUCUAAAACAUCCGUAGCUUGCUUUGUAAGUUCCUUGUGAAAUCCUAUGUCUUGAGCAUGGGGCGCGCAAGGAGUACUGCAGAGCUAGAGACUGGAAGACGUAAGAAGUACAUCCGAAGUAGCGGUUAAAUGUGUUACUCUUGGGUGGACUAACGAUAGCGAAGGCAUCUUACGAGGACAGUUCUGACAGUAAGGGAUGAAGGCUAGGGGCGCAAAUGGGAUUAGAUACCCUCGUAGUC
RNAcentral lists this ribosomal RNA (420 nucleotides) under uncultured archaeon. RNAcentral describes it as "partial 16S ribosomal RNA". It matches the Rfam family "Archaeal small subunit ribosomal RNA", at positions 323 to 746 of the family's 1478-position model. The record is from RNAcentral.